AUACGUAGGGGGCGAGCGUUGUCCGGAAUGAUUGGGCGUAAAGGGCGCGUAGGCGGCGCGGUAAGUCUGGAGUGAAAGUCCUGCUCUCAAGGUGGGAAUUGCUUUGGAUACUGCCGCGCUUGAGUGCAGGAGAGGUUAUCGGAAUUCCCGGUGUAGCGGUGAAAUGCGUAGAGAUCGGGAGGAACACCAGUGGCGAAGGCGGGUAACUGGACUGCAACUGACGCUGAGGCGCGAAAGUGUGGGGAGCAAACAGGAUUAGAUACCCUGGUAGUCCACACUGUAAACGAUGAAUGCUAGGUGUAAGAGGUAUCGACCCCUUUUGUGCCGGAGUCAACACAAUAGGCAUUCCGCCUGGGGAGUACGGCCGCAAGGUUGAAACUCAAAUGAAUUGACGGGG
Molecule: ribosomal RNA, 397 nt
Filed under: uncultured bacterium
Lineage: Bacteria
Description: partial 16S ribosomal RNA
Rfam family: Bacterial small subunit ribosomal RNA
Source: RNAcentral